Molecule: long non-coding RNA, 277 nt
Filed under: Elaeis guineensis (African oil palm)
Lineage: Eukaryota; Viridiplantae; Streptophyta; Magnoliopsida; Arecales; Arecaceae
Description: long non-coding RNA (EGUI_LNC058958)
Source: RNAcentral
GUGUGAGGUGUGAGUUCUAGGAUUUCAACUCUAGAUUUUGUGAGAAAAAAAUACAAGAGUGAGUCUUGUUCAAUCUUCCACACUAUCACCUCCUCAUAAAGCUUCAUUUUCUGAUCUAAAAAAAUUUGAGAGAUCCAAAAAAAGGAGCUUGGAUCAGCCAUCUAGAGCCUUCGACGUGAGCUAGCACUCCCACGAAAAAAAAAAUCCAAUUAGGACUUCGAGUGGACGAUCUCUGUGGCUGCUCGGCAUCAAUGAAAGCUUCAUACCAUGCCUACUA